Molecule: ribosomal RNA, 237 nt
Filed under: uncultured bacterium
Lineage: Bacteria
Description: partial 16S ribosomal RNA
Rfam family: Bacterial small subunit ribosomal RNA
Source: RNAcentral
GAUACCCGGGUAGUCCACGCCGUAAACGAUGUCGACUUGGAGGUUGUGCCCUUGAGGCGUGGCUUCCGGAGCUAACGCGUUAAGUCGACCGCCUGGGGAGUACGGCCGCAAGGUUAAAACUCAAAUGAAUUGACGGGGGCCCGCACAAGCGGUGGAGCAUGUGGUUUAAUUCGAUGCAACGCGAAGAACCUUACCUGGUCUUGACAUCCACGGAAGUUUUCAGAGAUGAGAAUGUGC